Molecule: ribosomal RNA, 475 nt
Filed under: uncultured bacterium
Lineage: Bacteria
Description: bacterial SSU rRNA
Rfam family: Bacterial small subunit ribosomal RNA
Source: RNAcentral
GGCCCAGACUCCUACGGGAGGCAGCAGUGGGGAAUAUUGCACAAUGGGCGCAAGCCUGAUGCAGCCAUGCCGCGUGUAUGAAGAAGGCCUUCGGGUUGUAAAGUACUUUCAGCGGGGAGGAAGGCGAUAAGGUUAAUAACCUUGUCGAUUGACGUUACCCGCAGAAGACGCACCGGCUAACUCCGUGCCAGCAGCCGCGGUAAUACGGAGGGUGCAAGCGUUAAUCGGAAUUACUGGGCGUAAAGCGCACGCAGGCGGUCGGGCAAGUCGGAUGUGAAAUCCCCGGGCGCAACCUGGGAACUGCAUUCGAAACUGGCAGGCUGGAGUCUUGUAGAGGGGGGUAGAAGUCCAGGUGUAGCGGUGAAAUGCGUAGAGAUCUGGAGGAAUACCGGUGGCGAAGGCGGCCCCCUGGACAAAGACUGACGCUCAGGUGCGAAAGCGUGGGGAGCAAACAAGAUUAGAUACCCUCGUAACU